RNAcentral lists this ribosomal RNA (1219 nucleotides) under uncultured organism. RNAcentral's name for it is "bacterial SSU rRNA". It matches the Rfam family "Bacterial small subunit ribosomal RNA", at positions 90 to 1363 of the family's 1533-position model. The record is from RNAcentral.
GGGGAGUGGCAGACGGGUGAGUAACGCGUGGGAACGUGCCCUUCGGUGCGGAAUAGCCCUUGGAAACGAGGUGUAAUACCGUAUACGCCCUAUGGGGGAAAGAUUAUCGCCGAAUGAUCGGCCCGCGUCAGAUUAGGUAGUUGGUGAGGUAACGGCUCACCAAGCCGACGAUCUGUAGCUCGUCUGAGAGGAUGAUCAGCCACACUGCGACUGAAACACGGCCCAUACUCCUACGGGAGGCAGCAGUGGGGAAUCUUGGACAAUGGGCGCAAGCCUGAUCCAGCCAUGCCGCGUGGAUGAUGAAGGCCUUAGGGUUGUAAAACUCCUUUCAGCGGGGAAGAUAAUGACGGUACCCGCAGAAGAAGCCCCGGUUAACUCCGUGCCAGCAGCCGCGGUAAUACGGAGGGGGCUAGCGUUGUUCGGAAUUACUGGGCUUAAAGCGCGCUUAGGCGGUUCAGUUAGCGAGAGGUGAAAGCCCGGAGCUCAACUCCGGAAUUGCCUUUCAUACUGCUGACCUGGAUUCCGGGACAGGUGUGUGGAAUCCCGAGUGUAGAGGUGAAAUUCGUAGAUAUUCGGAGGAACACCAGAGGCGAAGGCGACACACUGGACCGGUACUGACGCUGAGGUGCGAAAGCGUGGGGAGCAUACAGGAUUAGAUACCCUGGUAGUCCACGCCGUAAACGAUGGAUGCUAGUUGUCAGGCAGCAUGCUGUUAGGUGACGCAGCUAACGCAUUAAGCAUCCCGCCUGGGGAGUACGGCCGCAAGGUUAAAACUCAAAGAAAUUGACGGGGGCCCGCACAAGCGGUGGAGCAUGUGGUUUAAUUCGAAGCAACGCGCAGAACCUUACCUGCUCUUGACAUCCCGGUCGCGGAUUGCGGAGACGCUUUCCUUCAGUUCGGCUGGACCGGUGACAGGUGCUGCAUGGCUGUCGUCAGCUCGUGUCGUGAGAUGUUGGGUUAAGUCCCGCAACGAGCGCAACCCUCGCCGUUAGUUGCCAUCAGGUUGGGCUGGGCACUCUAACGGGACUGCCGGUGUCAAACCGGAGGAAGGUGGGGAUGACGUCAAGUCCUCAUGGCCCUUACGGGCAGGGCUACACACGUGCUACAGUGGCGGUGACAGAGGGAUAAUCCCUAAAAACCGUCUCAGUUCGGAUUGUCUUCUGCAACUCGAAGGCAUGAAGUCGGAAUCGCUAGUAAUCGCGGAUCAGCAUGCCGCGGU